RNAcentral lists this ribosomal RNA (460 nucleotides) under uncultured bacterium. RNAcentral's name for it is "partial 16S ribosomal RNA". It matches the Rfam family "Bacterial small subunit ribosomal RNA", at positions 338 to 795 of the family's 1533-position model. The record is from RNAcentral.
CCUACGGGUGGCAGCAGUGAGGAAUAUUGGUCAAUGGACGAGAGUCUGAACCAGCCAAGUAGCGUGAAGGAUGACUGCCCUAUGGGUUGUAAACUUCUUUUAUAUGGGAAUAAAAUGUUCCACGUGUGGGAUUUUGUAUGUACCAUAUGAAUAAGGAUCGGCUAACUCCGUGCCAGCAGCCGCGGUAAUACGGAGGAUCCGAGCGUUGUCCGGAUUUAUUGGGUUUAAAGGGAGCGUAGGUGGAUUGUUAAGUCAGUUGUGAAAGUUUGCGGCUCAACCGUAAAAUUGCAGUUGAAACUGGCAGUCUUGAGUACAGUAGAGGUGUGCGGAAUGCGUGGUGUAGCGGUGAAAUGCUUAGAUAUCACGAAGAACUCCGAUUGCGAAGGCAGUUCACUGGACUGCAACUGACACUGAGGCUCGAAAGUGUGGGUAUCAAACAGGAUUAGAUACCCGGGUAGUC